Molecule: non-coding RNA, 531 nt
Organism: Suricata suricatta (meerkat)
Lineage: Eukaryota; Metazoa; Chordata; Mammalia; Carnivora; Herpestidae
Source: the annotation of a RefSeq genome assembly
ACCAGCAGCAAGAUGGUACCACAGUCCAACGCGCUCCUAUUCCUGGUGUUCUGCAUCUCAGGUGUGUCUGGGGACAUUGUAAUGACCCAGUCUCCAAGCUCCGUGACUAGGUCAAUAGGAGAGAGUGUCACCAUCAACUGCAAGUCCAGCCAGAGUCUUCUGUACAGCUCUAACCAGAAGAACUACUUAAACUGGCACCAGCAGAAAGCUGGGCAGCGUCCUAAGCUGCUCAUCUACUACGCAUCCACCCGGGCAUCUGGAGUCCCCGACCGAUUCAGCGGCAGUGGGUCUGGGACAGAUUUCACCCUCACCAUCAGCAACCUCCAGGCUGAAGACGUGGCGACUUAUUACUGUCAGCAGGAUUAUAGCUCUCCUCCCACAGUGCUGCAGCCUCGUACACAAACCUCCUCCCCAGGGCAGGGGGCGAGCACGUCCAUCAUCUCCAUCCCUGUGCGGGUCAUGCCACGCUGGGCUGGUGCAGCUGAGGGUCAAGACAUGGUCCAGAGCCCUCAGCUGCACAUGAUGCCCUGA